Molecule: unclassified non-coding RNA, 1689 nt
Filed under: Polistes fuscatus (common paper wasp)
Lineage: Eukaryota; Metazoa; Arthropoda; Insecta; Hymenoptera; Vespidae
Description: splicing factor YJU2, transcript variant X1
Source: RNAcentral
AUUACAUAAAGAAAAAUGUCGGAACGUAAAGUGUUAAAUAAAUAUUAUCCCCCGGAUUUCGAUCCAUCAAAAAUUCCGCGCAUGAAAUUAGCGCGUAAUCGACAAUAUACAGUUCGUUUGAUGGCACCUUUCAAUAUGAGAUGCAAAACCUGCGGAGAAUACAUUUAUAAAGGGAAAAAGUUUAAUGCUCGCAAAGAGGACGUCGAAGGGGAUGAUUAUUUAGGAAUACGUAUUUACAGAUUUUAUAUCAAAUGUACACGAUGUUUGCAAGAGAUAUCGUUUAAAACCGAUCCAAAGAACACGGAUUAUGAAAUUGAAGCUGGUGCGACUAGAAAUUUUAUGGCGUUGAAAUUAGCGGAAGAACAAGCGCAAAGAGAAGAAGACGAAGAAAAAGAAGAAGAAGCUACUAAUCCGAUGAAACUUUUGGAGAAAAGGACGCAACAAUCUAAACAAGAGUUGGAAUUAUUAGAAUCUUUGGAAGAAUUAAAAGAUCUCAAUCGACGUUUAUUGCAGUCGAUUGAUUUUGAAGAAAUGAUAGAACAAUUUAAUACGACUAAACAGAGGGUAGAGAAAGAACAAGAAGAAUUAGAUGAACAAUAUAUUAAGUCGGUGUUUGGUAAUAAAAAUCAAAAAGGUGUUGUCGUGGAAGAAGAAAUUGUAGAAUUGGAUGAAAGCGGUCCUCCUAAAAAAAUGUUAAAAACAAAAACGAAAGAUAAGGAUAGUAAUAAUUUAGAUUCCAGAUUGGAUGAUGCGGAAUCUAAAGAAACUAAUGAUAUUCAUUUAUCGGGACCAUCUACAAGUACAUGUACGACUGCCAAAAGUUCAGUAUUUUCAAAUGAUACCAAGGCACCAUUUAAUAAAAAGAAUCUAGUUCUUGUUAAAAAGAAAGUAAAUUUAGGUGUAAAAACUAAUCAAAGUAACAAUAAUGAGAAAAAUGUUUCAAUGAAAACUGUUAAGUUACCGGAAGUAAAUUCAGAUAAAGUUAAUAAUGUUAGUGAAAAUACAGUGCCUAGUUCCGGUAACGUUGGAAAUAGUCUUUCUUUAUUAACAGAAUAUUCCGAUAGUAAUAGUGACAAUGACAGUAAUUAAUGCAACUAAUAUCAAUUAAUUGCAUUUAAGAUAAUAUAUAUAUAUAUAUGUAUACAUAUAUAUGUAUAUUUAUUUUAUAAGUUUUCCUAAUAUAAAUAUAUUGUACAAAGAAACGUGUGUAUAAGUGUAUAGUGGUUUUACAAAAUGAUUCCGAAUAGAAGAAUUUGAUUUAAUUUGUGUAAAUUAUCGGUAAAAGAAUCAUCGGUGUUAUCGUACUAUCAAUUAACAAACAAAAAUUCGUACAAUUGCAUACAAUUUUUUAAAACGAUAUCAAACGAUAUGUAUUUUAAAUUCUUCCAAAAUAUUAAUUUUAUACAGAGCAAGUAAAUGGCGAUGACAAGAAUGUUUCUUACAGGAUGCCAAACCCUCUACUCCUAAAACACAAAAACAUAAUAAAUCAGGCAAGUAAAAUUAAUAGUUGGUCUGUUUCAAAGGCUAGGCACUCUGUAAGGAACAAUUCGGUCUUAACGCCAAUGAUGAUUUCAAUCAGUACUGACAGGAGGAGGAGGAGGAGGAGGAGGAGUACAUAGCCUAUUAAAACAGACCACACCGUAAUAAUAUAUUUAAUGUAUUUUGCAAUAUAUCAUUAAUUUAACAGUA